AUUAAAUGAUAAUAUUCAAAGUGAGAAUCAUUAAUGUUUUGAAAAAUUGGAAUUCACAUAAUGUCCCUGUCAAACUUUGUCAUGGAAAUGUUUAUUUUCUUUAUUUUGAUAUCUUCUGCAGUAGGACAAAACCAGCCAAAUGGAAAUUUUUUAUUUGACGCGCCACUUAUUGGUGAACAAAAUCUGCCACUCGUUGCUACUCUUGAUUUUUCAAAAAUAGACACGGAGCUUAAAAGUUAUAUCAGCAAUACAGUUUAUCGAGUCACAGACGAGAAAGUGAAAAAUGACACCCAACAGGAAGUCGACAAACGCAUUAAGCAGACUGUUCCACAAGUUAUAGAUGCUGUCACAGAAAAUAUUCGUAGUGAUCUACGAGAAAGUGCAUCGUUCACUGCCUCCCUGACAAAUUCAAGAGUGCCAGCUGACACCAUUAUAUUUGACAAAGUAUGAUUAAACACCGGAAACGCAUAUGAUAAAAAUACAGGUGUCUUCACUGCUACGAGAGGUGGACGAUAUCACUUUUCUGCCACUGUAAUGUCUAGUGGGAAGCACGGGGAUGUAUAUUCCGCUUUGAAGAAGAACAACGUAACUCAUUUUAACAUCUUCGGAGGGGAGAAUUUGUACACUGGGACUGUUAACUGUGUAUUAGCUUUACAGAAGGGUGAUCACGUAAGAAUUGUGCCUACCAGAGGUGAAGGAGUUUAUGGAGGCCAUUGGUCUGUGUUUUCGGGAUACUUCAUCGGUGAAUAAUGUUAUAAAAACUACAUAGUUGUAAAUAAACGUAAUAUUAUUUACGCAUUGAAAUACAAUUAAAGCACUAUUGUAUGCGUUUCAGGUGUAGUUCUUAUAAAAAGGGAUAUUACAGCCUAAUUUUUACGAUAAUUUUGUUUAUAAAGCACGCAAUUUUAAAAACGACCCAUACAAACUUAUCGAUUAUUUGAAUAAACUUAUUCGUAAAGGAUACCUUUGUACAUUGUAACACCGUGGUAAAAUCUUUGAAUAUGGUUUUUAUCGGCACUUACAUUAAUUUUAUUUUCGAUGAAUUAAAACAUUACUAAAUAUU
Mytilus californianus (California mussel) is the source of this 1063-nucleotide long non-coding RNA. RefSeq lists it as uncharacterized. NCBI's taxonomy places the organism in Eukaryota, Metazoa, Mollusca, Bivalvia, Mytilida, Mytilidae. The record is from RefSeq and is a predicted model, not a curated record. The transcript is spliced from 2 exons.